This 200-nucleotide unclassified non-coding RNA is filed under the name Tarzetta sp. Its description in RNAcentral is "partial internal transcribed spacer 2". Lineage: Eukaryota; Fungi; Ascomycota; Pezizomycetes; Pezizales; Tarzettaceae. The record is from RNAcentral.
UUAAGUUCAGCGGGUAUCCCUACCUGAUCCGAGGUCAAACUGGAGAUUUAUUCCCUGGGAGGGGGUUCUGGCAGGACCUUGCCGGCGGGAGUCGCGUUUGAGGUGCUCAUCACGCUACUGGCCCGUGGCACGUCCGCCACUGCAUUGCAGGCAGAGGGUUCUGAUACCCUCAGGCCCAAGACCAAGCUGGGGCUUCGAAG